Molecule: long non-coding RNA, 455 nt
Organism: Homo sapiens (human)
Lineage: Eukaryota; Metazoa; Chordata; Mammalia; Primates; Hominidae
Exons: 3
Source: RefSeq, a predicted model, not a curated record
CAGUGACUCAGAGAUGAUUUCCUCUUCAGAAAACAGAAGAAUUUUCUGACACAUUUAUCCAGAUUGGAUGAUAUGGAGAUGAACACCAGGACUAUUUUAGAAACUGCAUGUUGAAGACCACUGAGAUAUAAAACUUAGAAAAAAAAAGGUUCUGAAUCAAUGCCUUGUGAAGACAGUUGCACAGGGUACCACCAGGCUGAAAUCCAGGUGUUCACCAGGACUUUUCUUCACCUGGAGGCCCAGCUGGAGAAGAAUCUGCUUCCAAGCUCCAUCAGACUGUUAGAAAAUUAACUUCCUGUGGCUAUAGGAUUCAUGGCACGUUGCUUCUUCAAAGCCAGCAAUGGAAAGAGUCUUCUGCUCCAAGAAUGACAUGUAGUCACUCAGAAAGGGAUCAUAUGACUAGGUAAUGUCCACCCAGAAUAAUAUCGCUUUUGAUUAAGUUAAAGUCAAUCGAU